Molecule: ribosomal RNA, 253 nt
Filed under: uncultured bacterium
Lineage: Bacteria
Description: partial 16S ribosomal RNA
Rfam family: Bacterial small subunit ribosomal RNA
Source: RNAcentral
UACGUAGGGGACGAGCGUUGUCCGGAAUUAUUGGGCGUAAAGAGCGUGUAGGCGGCUCUGCAAGUCCUGCGUGAAAUCUCGAGGCUCAACCUCGAGCGGUCGUGGGAAACUGGAGGGCUAGAGUGCGGGAGAGGGAAGUGGAAUUCCUGGUGUAGCGGUGAAAUGCGUAGAGAUCAGGAAGAACACCGGUGGCGAAAGCGCUCUGCUAGGCCGCAACUGACACUGAGGGACGAAAGCUAGGGGAGCGAAUGGG